Molecule: ribosomal RNA, 463 nt
Filed under: uncultured bacterium
Lineage: Bacteria
Description: bacterial SSU rRNA
Rfam family: Bacterial small subunit ribosomal RNA
Source: RNAcentral
AACGAACGCUGGCGGCAUGCCUAACACAUGCAAGUCGAACGAGACCUUCGGGUCUAGUGGCGCACGGGUGCGUAACGCGUGGGAAUCUGCCCUUUGCUUCGGAAUAACAGUUAGAAAUGACUGCUAAUACCGGAUGAUGUCUUCGGACCAAAGAUUUAUCGGCAAAGGAUGAGCCCGCGUAGGAUUAGGUAGUUGGUGGGGUAAAGGCCUACCAAGCCGACGAUCCUUAGCUGGUCUGAGAGGAUGAUCAGCCACACUGGGACUGAGACACGGCCCAGACUCCUACGGGAGGCAGCAGUGGGGAAUAUUGGACAAUGGGCGAAAGCCUGAUCCAGCAAUGCCGCGUGAGUGAUGAAGGCCUUAGGGUUGUAAACUGCUUUGUACGAACGAAACGGUGAGCUCUAAUACAGUUUGCUAAUGACGGUACCGUAAGAAUAAGCACCGGCUAACUACGUGCCAGCAG